GAUGAACGCUGGCGGCGUGCCUAAUACAUGCAAGUCGAGCGAACAGACGAGGAGCUUGCUCCUCUGACGUUAGCGGCGGACGGGUGAGUAACACGUGGAUAACCUACCUAUAAGACUGGGAUAACUUCGGGAAACCGGAGCUAAUACCGGAUAAUAUAUUGAACCGCAUGGUUCAAUAGUGAAAGACGGUUUUGCUGUCACUUAUAGAUGGAUCCGCGCCGCAUUAGCUAGUUGGUAAGGUAACGGCUUACCAAGGCAACGAUGCGUAGCCGACCUGAGAGGGUGAUCGGCCAGACUGGAACUGAGACACGGUACAGACUCCUACGGGAGGCAGCAGUAGGGAAUCUUACGCAAUGGGCGAAAGCUUGACGGAGCAACGCCGCGUGAGUGAUGAAGGUCUUCGGAUCGUAAAACUCUGUUAUUAGGGAAGAACAAAUGUGUAAGUAACUAUGCACGUCUUGACGGUACCUAAUCAGAAAGCCACGGCUAACUACGUG
This 497-nucleotide ribosomal RNA is filed under the name uncultured bacterium. RNAcentral describes it as "partial 16S ribosomal RNA". It matches the Rfam family "Bacterial small subunit ribosomal RNA", at positions 28 to 507 of the family's 1533-position model. The record is from RNAcentral.